This 80-nucleotide transfer RNA is filed under the name compost metagenome. Its description in RNAcentral is "tRNA-Ser". It matches the Rfam family "tRNA". From Rfam's summary of the family: Transfer RNA (tRNA) molecules are approximately 80 nucleotides in length. Their secondary structure includes four short double-helical elements and three loops (D, anti-codon, and T loops). The record is from RNAcentral.
CGCGUAGUAGCCCAAAAAGAGCAGAGGCAGGAGCACUUGAGCUCCUCAAAGUAUAGGUUCAAAUCCUAUCUGCGCAACCA